Molecule: non-coding RNA, 196 nt
Organism: Spodoptera litura
Lineage: Eukaryota; Metazoa; Arthropoda; Insecta; Lepidoptera; Noctuidae
Source: RefSeq, a predicted model, not a curated record
AUACCAUUAGACAAUGUUCGCAAAAGAAUUGCCGCCAUAACAGGUGUGUCGGAGAGUCGUGUGUUAUAAACAGACGGGUAGCGGUUAAAAACGUGGGCCAAGAUCCAAAGAAAUUGUACGCCUAACAGAAGAGGCGUCCGAGACUGUUACAGCGGAAGAUUGGGCAGUUCAAUGCAAACAUGUACAGCAUUUGGAG